Molecule: unclassified non-coding RNA, 199 nt
Filed under: soil metagenome
Description: partial contains 5.8S ribosomal RNA, internal transcribed spacer 2, and large subunit ribosomal RNA
Source: RNAcentral
AAGACUAUAGACCUGCGGAGUACCUGCGGAAGGAUCAUUACAUGAAUACAGGCUUCGGCCUUCAUUCUACCCUUGCUUAUUGCACCUUUGUUGUUCCCUCGGCGGGUCUCCUGCCGAUGGGUACCCACAAACCCUUUGCAUUAGAAUCUAAACGUCUGAUACAAAAACAAAUAAUCACAACUUUCAACAACGGAUCUCU